This 392-nucleotide ribosomal RNA is filed under the name uncultured bacterium. RNAcentral describes it as "partial 16S ribosomal RNA". It matches the Rfam family "Bacterial small subunit ribosomal RNA", at positions 523 to 918 of the family's 1533-position model. The record is from RNAcentral.
AUACGGAGGAUCCGAGCGUUAUCCGGAUUUAUUGGGUUUAAAGGGUGCGCAGGCGGCCAUUUAAGUCAGCGGUUAAAUCGUGGGGCUCAACCCCAUCCUGCCGUUGAUACUGGGUGGCUUGAUUGCGGUCGAGGUUGGCGGAAUUCGUUGUGUAGCGGUGAAAUGCAUAGAUAUGACGAAGAACACCGAUUGCGUAGGCAGCUGACCAGACCGCAAAUGACGCUCAUGCACGAAAGUGCGGGGAUCGAACAGGAUUAGAUACCCUGGUAGUCCGCACAGUAAACGAUGAAUACUUGUUUUCGGCGAUAUAAUGUCGGAGGCAAAGCGAAAGCGAUAAGUAUUCCACCUGGGGAGUACGCCGGCAACGGUGAAACUCAAAGGAAUUGACGGGG